RNAcentral lists this ribosomal RNA (397 nucleotides) under uncultured bacterium. RNAcentral's name for it is "partial 16S ribosomal RNA". It matches the Rfam family "Bacterial small subunit ribosomal RNA", at positions 523 to 918 of the family's 1533-position model. The record is from RNAcentral.
AUACGUAGGGGGCGAGCGUUGUCCGGAAUGACUGGGCGUAAAGGGCGUGUAGGCGGCCGAUUAAGUCUGGAGUGAAAGUCCUGCUUUCAAGGUGGGAAUUGCUUUGGAGACUGGUUGGCUUGAGUGCGGAAGAGGUAAGUGGAAUUCCCAGUGUAGCGGUGAAAUGCGUAGAGAUUGGGAGGAACACCAGUGGCGAAGGCGACUUACUGGACUGUAACUGACGCUGUGGCGCGAAAGUGUGGGGAGCAAACAGGAUUAGAUACCCUGGUAGUCCACACUGUAAACGAGGAAUGCUAGGUGUAGGGGGUAUCGACCCCUUCUGUGCCGCAGUCAACACAAUAAGCAUUCCGCCUGGGGAGUACGGCCGCAAGGUUGAAACUCAAAGGAAUUGACGGGG